Molecule: ribosomal RNA, 301 nt
Filed under: uncultured bacterium
Lineage: Bacteria
Description: partial 16S ribosomal RNA
Rfam family: Bacterial small subunit ribosomal RNA
Source: RNAcentral
CAGCAGCCACGGUAAUACAGAGGUCCCGAGCGUUGUUCGGAUUCACUGGGCGUAAAGGGUGUGUAGGAGGUUGGAUAAGUCAGGUGUGAAAUCCCGCAGCUCAACUGCGGAACUGCAUUCGAUACUGUUCAACUAGAGGAUCGGAGGGGGAAGCGGAAUUCUUGGUGUAGCGGUGAAAUGCGUAGAUAUCAAGAGGAACACCGGUGGCGAAGGCGGCUUCCUGGAAGAUACCUGACUCUGAAACACGAAAGCCAGGGGAGCGAAUGGGAUUAGAGACCCCCGUAGUCCCUGUCUCUUAUAA